Molecule: ribosomal RNA, 490 nt
Filed under: uncultured Corynebacterium sp.
Lineage: Bacteria; Bacillati; Actinomycetota; Actinomycetes; Mycobacteriales; Corynebacteriaceae
Description: partial 16S ribosomal RNA
Source: RNAcentral
CGCGUAGUUAGCCGGUGCUUCUUAUCUACCUACCGUCACCACAAGUGGCUUCGUCGAUAGCGAAAGGAGUUUACAACCCGAAGGCCUUCAUCCCCCACGCGGCGUCGCUGCAUCAGGCUUGCGCCCAUUGUGCAAUAUUCCCCACUGCUGCCUCCCGUAGGAGUCUGGGCCGUAUCUCAGUCCCAAUGUGUCCGUACACCCUCUCAGGCCGGAUACCCGUCGCCGCCUUGGUAGGCCAUUACCCCACCAACAAGCUGAUAGGCCGCAGGCUCAUCCCACACCGCAAAGCUUUCCACCACACCAUCCAAAGUGCGGUCCUAUAUGGUAUUAGACCCAGUUUCCCAGGCUUAUCCCACAGUGCAGGGCAGAUCACCCACGUGUUACUCACCCGUUCGCCACUCGAGUACCUCUAGCAAGCUAGAGGCCUUUCCGUCGACUUGCAUGUGUUAAGCACGCCGCCAGCGUUCAUCCUGAGCCAGGAUCAAACUCU